Molecule: ribosomal RNA, 7428 nt
Filed under: Triticum aestivum (bread wheat)
Lineage: Eukaryota; Viridiplantae; Streptophyta; Magnoliopsida; Poales; Poaceae
Description: partial small subunit ribosomal RNA
Source: RNAcentral
AUGAAGCCCUCGCCGCACUUCCCGGAGAUCGGGAAGAAGUCCAAAGAUUUGAUCCCCAAGGACCACAGUUUCAACAUUGCGGCCUACAUCUCAUCUGGAGCGGAUGUUAUUGCUGCUGCCCUGCGAAAGCAUGUCGAGGAGGAAGCUCGAGAUCUCAGCGGUGAAGCUUUUCUUAGGUUUAUGGAUCAGCUCUAUGAGCAGAUAUCUAGUUUAUUGCAAAGUAACGAUGUUUCUGAAAAUUUGCUGGCUCUCCGUGCUAUCGAUGCAUUGAUUGAUAUGCCCUUCGGAGAAGGUGCUUCAAAGGUCUCCAAGUUCGCCAGUUUCUUGAGAAAUGUGUUUGAAGUAAAGCGUGACCCUGAAAUCCUAGUUCCAGCGAGUACUGUGCUUGGUCAUUUAGCAAAAGCUGGGGGAGCAAUGACUGCAGAUGAAGUUGAGCGACAGAUUAAAACUGCUUUAGGGUGGCUUGAGGGGGACCGAGUAGAGUAUCGUCGGUUUGCAGCUGUUCUUAUUCUCAAAGAGAUGGCUGAGAAUGCUUCCACAACUUUCAAUGUUCAUGUUCCUGAAUUUGUUGAUGCUAUAUGGGUAGCACUGAGAGACCCCAAACAGGCUGUGCGUGAACGAGCAGUGGAAGCCUUGCGUGCUUGUCUUCAUGUUAUAGAAAAGCGGGAGACACGGUGGCGUGUACAGUGGUAUUACCGCAUGUGUGAAGCAGCGCAAGUGGGACUUGGCAAAAAUGCUUCUGUUCAUAGCAUCCAUGGGUCAUUAUUGGCUGUUGGAGAAUUGUUGAGGAAUACCGGGGAAUUUAUGAUGUCUAGGUACAGAGAAGUGGCUGAUAUAGUCCUCACGUACUUGAAACACCGGGAUCAGCUUGUUCGUCGUAGUAUAACAUCUCUUCUUCCUCGAAUUGCUCACUUCCUGCGAGACAGAUUUGUGACCAACUACCUUAAGAUAUGCAUGGAACAUAUCUUGUUUGUUCUACGUACCCCGGAUGAGCGUGCUAGUGGGUUUGUUGCUCUGGGAGAGAUGGCUGGUGCUUUGGGUGCAGAACUUGUGCCCAGUUUGCCCUCAAUUACCCCACUUCUGCAUGAAGCAAUUGCUCCUCGCAGAGGACGCCCAUCUCUUGAGGCUAUUACUUGUGUUGGAAGCUUUGCAAAAGCCAUGGGUCUUGCAAUGGAACGCCAUAUUCGUGGUGGGCUGCUAGAUGCCAUGUUUUCUGCCGGUCUUUCUGAUAAACUUGUAGAUGCACUUGAGUCUAUAAGUACCAGCAUCCCGUCUCUACUGCCAACUAUACAAGAGCGUUUAUUGGAUUGUAUAGCUCAAGCACUUCCAAAGUCAUCUACGAGGUCUGGUUCUACUGUUAAUCGAGCAACCAGAUCCAACAGUUUCCAGCACUUUGUGGAUUCUAGUGGUCCAGUGCUUGUCCAACUUGCUCUGCGUACCCUGGCAAACUUUAACUUUAAGGGUCAUGAGCUCCUGGAAUUGGCAAGAGAGAGUGUCAUCCUUUAUCUGGAAGAUGAGGAUAGCAGUACCCGAAAAGCUGCUGCGAUAUGCUGUUGCAGAUUAGUUGCACACUCUCUUUCUGCUUCGUCUACUUCACAGUUCAGUUCAAAUAGGUCAAAUCGUAUGGGAGGAGCUAAGCGCCGUCGUCUUGUAGAAGAGAUAGUGGAAAAACUUCUUAUUGCUGCAGUUGCUGAUGCUGAUGUUGGUGUUAGGAGUUCAGUCUUCAGGGCUCUGUACCGCAAUCCGACUUUUGAUGAUUUCUUGGCCCAAGCUGACAUCCUGACUUCAAUUUUUGUUGCCUUAAAUGACGAGGAGUACGGUGUAAGAGAAUUGGCAAUUUUAGUUGCAGGCAGAUUGUCUGAAAAAAACCCUGCAUAUGUACUGCCUGCCCUUCGUCGCUAUCUUAUACAGUUGCUCACUUAUCUUGAUCAAAGUAUGGAUAGCAAGUGUAGAGAGGAAAGUGCUAGAUUGUUGGGCUGCUUAAUUAGGAGCUGUCCAUGGCUAAUACUUCCUUAUAUUGCUCCAAUUCACAAGGCACUGGUGGCUAGACUUUGUGAAGGAACAGGACCAAUGGCCAAUAUUGUGCUUGCUGCGGGAGUGCUUGCCACUGUCGGGGAACUGGCCAAAGUGGGUGGUUUUGCAAUGAGGCAAUAUCUUCCUGAGCUAAUGCCUCUGGUUGUGGAUGCUCUUUUGGAUGGAGGUUCUGUGAGCAAAAGGGAAGUUGCAGUAGCAACCCUUGGACAAGUUAUUCAAAGCACAGGCUAUGUUAUUGCUCCCUAUAAUGAAUAUCCUCCGUUGCUUGGCUUACUCUUGAAGUUGCUGAAUGGUGAAUUGGAAUGGUCGACUAGAUUGGAAGUUCUGAAGGUUUUAGGGAUUAUGGGUGCGUUGGACCCUCAUGCACAUAAGCGUAAUCAACAUAAUUUAACUGGUCAACAUAAUUUACCUGGUCAACAUAGAGAGGUUCUACGUCCAACAGUUGAGACUGCACAACAUAUCGUUUCCAUGGAAGAGGCACCAACUGAUUUCUGGCCAUCUUUUUCGGCGUCUGAGGACUACUAUUCAACGGUUGCAAUUAGUUCUCUCAUGCGAAUUCUCCGAGAUCCUUCCCUUGCAAGUUAUCAUCAAAUGGUUGUUGGCUCUCUUAUCUUCGUUUUUAAGUCAAUGGGCCUUGGCUGUGUUCCCUAUCUACCAAAGGUUCUCCCUGAGCUAUUCCGCGCCGUUCGUAUGUGCGAGGAUGGUGGUUUGAAAGAGUUCAUAACCUGGAAACUCGGGACAUUAAUAUCUAUUGUUCGACAGCACAUUCGGAAGUAUUUACAAGACAUACUCUCUCUUGUCUCCGAAUUAUGGACUUCCUCGUUCAGCCUUCCUGCACCAAAGCGGACUAUACAGGGCCCACAGGGUUCUCCAGUUCUUCAUCUUGUUGAGCAACUAUGCUUAGCAUUGAAUGAUGAGUUCAGAGUGUAUUUACUCCAUAUUUUGCCAAGUUGUAUUCAAGUCUUGGGUGAUGCUGAACGCUGCAAUGAUUAUUGCUAUGUGCCUGACAUAUUACACACACUCGAAGUGUUUGGCGGAAAUUUGGAUGAGCACAUGCACUUGGUUGCUCCAGUGCUUGUUCGUUUAUUUAAAGUGGAGCUAGUUGACAUCCGACGGCGUGCUAUCAUUACUUUAACUAAGCUUAUACCUAAGGUGCAGGUUGGUACUCAUGUAUCGGCGUUAGUGCAUCAUCUGAAGCUCGUCUUGGAUGGAAACAAUGAUGAUUUACGGAAAGAAGCUGCAGAGGCGCUCUGCUCGCUCGCACAUGCUCUCGGAGAGGAAUUUACAAUUUUCAUACCAUCAAUACGCAAACUUCUUGUGAAGCACCAUUUGCGGUACAAAAAAUGGGAUGAGACUGAAAAUCGAUUACUAAGGCGAGAACUGUUCAUCUCCGAUAACUUGUCAGUACAGAAGUACACACAGUGUCCACCUGAUGUCAUUAGUGACCCCCUUGAUGAUUUUGAGGGUGUUCCUUCUGAGGAAGCUGAUGAAACACAGCGGCAACCAAGAAGUCAUCAAGUCAACGAUGUUCGGUUGAGAAGUGCUGGCGAGGCUUCUCAGAGAAGUACUAGAGAAGAUUGGGCUGAAUGGAUGAGGCACUUUAGUAUUGCACUUCUCAAAGAGUCACCAUCUCCAGCUCUACGCACUUGUGCAAGGCUAGCACAGCUUCAGCCCUCUGUUGGACGCGAGUUGUUUGCUGCGGGUUUUGCAAGUUGCUGGGCCCAAAUGACCGAAUCAUCCCAAGAGCAACUAGUGAGAAGUCUCAAGACAGCAUUCUCAUCUCAAAACAUACCACCAGAAAUUCUUGCAACGCUGUUGAACUUGGCAGAGUUUAUGGAACAUGAUGAGAAGCCUCUUCCAAUUGAUACUAGGCUGCUUGGCGCACUUGCUGAGAAGUGUCGAGCAUAUGCAAAAGCCCUCCAUUAUAAAGAAAUGGAGUUUGAAGCUGUAUGUUCAAAGAAGAUGGGUGCAAAUCCUGUUACAGUGGUUGAAUCCCUUAUUCAUAUUAACAAUCAACUGCACCAGCAUGAGGCAGCUAUUGGAAUACUGACUUACUCACAACAGCAUCUAGAAGUUCAGUUGAAGGAAUCCUGGUAUGAGAAAUUGCACCGUUGGGAUGAGGCCCUAAGGGCAUAUACCAUGAAGUCAUCUCAAGCAUCUGGCCCUUUACAACACAGCCAAAAUUUGGAUGCUACAUUGGGGAGGAUGAGGUGCCUAGCAUCCUUGGCUCGGUGGGAAGAUUUAAGCACAUUAUGCAGGGAGCAAUGGACUGGUGCAGAACCGCCUGCUCGACUGGAAAUGGCUCCAAUGGCUGCAAAUGCUGCUUGGCAUAUGGGUGAGUGGGACCAGAUGUCUGAAUAUGUUUCUCGUCUGGAUGAUGGGGACGAAAACAAGCUCCGCUCGUUGGGUAACACAACUGCUAGUGGUGAUGGAAGCAGUAAUGGUGCUUUCUUUAGGGCUGUUCUUUCAGUUCGUUGCAAAAAGUAUGAAGAAGCUCGUGUAUAUGUUGAGAGAGCUCGGCGGUGUUUGGCAACUGAACUUGCACCAUUGGUACUUGAGAGUUAUGAGCGUGCUUAUAAUAACAUGGUGCGGGUUCAGCAGCUUUCAGAACUCGAAGAGGUGAUUGAUUACUGCACUCUUCCGAUGGAAAGUCCAAUUGCUGAUGGGCGAAGGGAACUUAUCCGUAAUAUGUGGAAUGAGCGCAUUAAAGGAACAAAACGGAACGUUGAGGUGUGGCAAGCCCUACUUGCUGUUAGAGAGUUGGUUCUUCCUCCUAAUGAAGACAGAGAUACCUGGAUAAGAUUUGCUAAACUUUGCUGGAAGAGUGGACGUAUUAGUCAGGCUAAAUCUACUUUAGUCAAACUUUUACAGUUUGAUCCUGAAUCUUCUCCUGAGUUGACACUGUAUCAUGCACAUCCUCAAGUAGUCCUGGCUUACCUGAAGUACCAGUAUGCUGUUGGAGAUGAGCUUAAACGAAAGGACGCAUUUUCUAGGCUACAGGAUCUGUCAGUGCAGAUUGCAACAGCCACAAAUAGUUACUCUGGAAUGCUAGUAAGCCAUGGUGCUAUAUCAAGUGCUGGAGUACCACUUACUGCCCGUGUCUAUUUGACACUUGCUAGCUGGAAGAGAGCACUGUCACCUGGAUUGGAUGAUGAUGCCAUUCAAGAAAUAUUGGUUUCCUACAAAAAUGCCACAUUAAGUGCCAAGGACUGGGGCAAGGCAUGGCAUUCGUGGGCUUUGUUCAACACUGAAGUCAUGUCCCGAUAUACUUUGCGAGGCCGUCCAGAUAUAGCAGGAAAAUAUGUUGUUGCAGCAGUAACAGGAUAUUUCUACUCUAUUGCGUGUGCAUCUACAACUAAAGGUGUCGAUGAUAGCUUGCAGGAUAUUCUCCGUCUCUUGACUCUUUGGUUCAACCAUGGGGCAACCUCAGAGGUUCAAAUGGCAUUGGAGAAAGGCUUUACACUUGUCAAGAUCGAAAUGUGGUUGGUUGUGCUACCCCAGAUAAUUGCCAGGAUUCAUUCAAACAAUAGAAUAGUUAGAGAACUGAUACAAGAAUUGCUAGUUCGAAUUGGAAAGGGGCAUCCGCAGGCAUUGAUGUAUCCUCUUUUGGUUGCUUGCAAAUCAAUAAGUAUAUUAAGGCAACGUGCAGCACAGGAGGUCGUUGAUAAGAUCCGCAAGCAUAGUGGAGGCCUUGUUGAUCAGGCGCAGCUUGUUUCAAAGGAACUGAUACGAGUUGCCAUUUUGUGGCAUGAGAUGUGGCAUGAAGCUCUUGAGGAAGCUAGCAGGAUGUAUUUUGGUGAGCACAAUAUCGAUGGAAUGCUUGCGGUACUUGAGCCAUUGCAUGCAAUGCUUGAGAGAGGGGCUGAGACAAUAAAAGAGAACACUUUCAUUCAGGCCUAUGGACAUGAAUUACUUGAAGCCCACGAAUGCUGCUUAAAAUAUCGCGCUACUGGAGAGGAUGCUGAGCUAACUAAGGCAUGGGAUUUGUAUUACCAUGUUUUCAGAAGAAUCGACAAACAGCUUCCAAGUCUUACAACUCUUGAUUUGCAUUCUGUUUCACCUGAGCUGCUCAAAUGUCGAAAGUUGGAGCUUGCUGUACCAGGAACUUAUUCUGCAGAUUCACCACUAGUGACUAUCGAGUAUUUUGUUCCGCAAUUGAUUGUUAUUACAUCCAAACAAAGACCAAGGAAACUGACAAUUCAUGGAAGUGAUGGCGAGGAUUAUGCAUUCUUGCUUAAAGGUCAUGAAGAUUUAAGACAAGAUGAACGCGUUAUGCAGCUUUUUGGUCUGGUGAAUACUCUCCUGGAGAACUCAAGGAAAACAUCAGAGAAAGAUUUGUCGAUCCAAAGAUAUGCUGUUAUUCCCUUGUCUCCUAACAGUGGAUUAAUUGGAUGGGUACCUAAUUGUGACACGCUUCAUGCUCUGAUCCGUGAAUACAGAGAUGCAAGGAAGAUUUUCUUAAAUCAAGAGCACAGACUUAUGUUGGCGUUUGCACCCGAUUAUGACCACUUACCCCUCAUCGCGAAGGUGGAAGUAUUUCAGCAUGCUCUGCAGAAUACCGAAGGAAAUGACCUUGCAAAGGUUCUCUGGCUGAAAAGUCGAACAUCCGAAGUAUGGCUUGAGCGGCGUACAAAUUAUACAAGAAGCCUGGCUGUUAUGAGCAUGGCUGGCUAUUUGCUUGGGUUAGGAGAUCGGCAUCCAAGCAAUCUUAUGUUAGAUCGUUUUAGUGGGAAAAUUUUACACAUUGACUUUGGAGACUGUUUCGAGGCAUCAAUGAAUCGAGAAAAGUUCCCUGAAAAAGUACCAUUCCGUUUGACUAGAAUGCUCGUGAAAGCUAUGGAAGUUAGUGGUAUUGAGGGUACUUUCAGAACAACUUGUGAAAAUGUGAUGCAAGUCCUCCGAACAAACAAGGACAGCGUCAUGGCUAUGAUGGAGGCAUUUGUACAUGACCCGCUGAUCAAUUGGCGUUUGUUCAAUUUCAAUGAAGUUCCUCAAGUUUCAAACUAUGGAAAUGCUCAUACUCAUACAGUGGUCAGUAGUGAAGAAGCUGCUCCUAGUGAAGAGCUCAUGCAGCCUCCUCGAGGAGCCCGCGAGAAGGAACUGCUACAGGCGGUCAAUCAACUCGGUGACGCUAAUGAGGUUUUAAACGAGCGUGCUGUAGCUGUCAUGGCACGGAUGAGUCACAAGCUAACAGGGCGUGACUUUUCUUCUGGAUCAGCCUUGUCAGGCGCCGGCGGCUCAAGUCAACAUGGCAGUGAACAUUUAGCCUCAGUAGAUGCUCGGGAGGUAGAACCUGGAUUAUCCGUGAAGGUUCAGGUUCAGAAGCUUAUACUUCAAGCGACUUCACAUGAAAAUUUGUGCCAGAACUAUGUCGGGUGGUGCCCGUUUUGGUGA